This 19-nucleotide small nuclear RNA is filed under the name Arabidopsis thaliana (thale cress). RNAcentral describes it as "snRNA_13433". Lineage: Eukaryota; Viridiplantae; Streptophyta; Magnoliopsida; Brassicales; Brassicaceae. The record is from RNAcentral.
UCCACUGCUGUAAGCGGGA